Molecule: ribosomal RNA, 2723 nt
Filed under: Terrihalobacillus insolitus
Lineage: Bacteria; Bacillati; Bacillota; Bacilli; Caryophanales; Bacillaceae
Description: Bacterial large subunit ribosomal RNA
Rfam family: Bacterial large subunit ribosomal RNA
Source: Rfam by way of RNAcentral
AGUUAAGUGAAGAAGGGCGCACGGUGGAUGCCUUGGCACUAGGAGCCGAAGAAGGACGGGACAAACACCGAUAUGUCUCGGGGAGCCGUAAGUAGGCAUCGAUCCGGGAAUUUCCGAAUGGGGAAACCCACUGCUCGUAAUGGAGUAGUAUCCUUACCUGAAUUCAUAGGGUAAGGGAGGCAGACCCGGGGAACUGAAACAUCUCAGUACCCGGAGGAAGAGAAAGCAAAUGCGAUUUCCCAAGUAGCGGCGAGCGAAACGGAAACAGCCCAAACCAGAAAGCUUGCUUUCUGGGGUUGUAGGACACUCCAAUGGAGUUACAAAGAAACCAUGUAGAUGAAUUGAUCUGGAACGAUCAGCCAAAGAAGGUAAGAGCCCUGUAAUCGAAAGAUGGUUUCCUCCGGAGUGGAUCCUGAGUACGGCGGAACACGUGAAAUUCCGUCGGAAUCCGGGAGGACCAUCUCCCAAGGCUAAAUACUUCCUAGUGACCGAUAGUGAACCAGUACCGUGAGGGAAAGGUGAAAAGCACCCCGGAAGGGGAGUGAAAGAGAUCCUGAAACCGUGUGCCUACAAGUAGUCGAAGCCCGUUAAUGGGUAACGGCGUACCUUUUGUAGAAUGGACCGGCGAGUUACGAUCUCCUGCAAGGUUAAGUUGUAUAGACGGAGCCGCAGCGAAAGCGAGUCUUAAAUAGGGCGAAGUAGUAGGGGGUCGUAGACCCGAAACCGUGUGAUCUACCCAUGUCCAGGGUGAAGGUCAGGUAACACUGACUGGAGGCCCGAACCCACGCGUGUUGAAAAACGCGGGGAUGAGGUGUGGGUAGGGGUGAAAUGCCAAUCGAACACGGAAAUAGCUGGUUCUCUCCGAAAUAGCUUUAGGGCUAGCCUCAAGCGAUGUGUACUGGAGGUAGAGCACUGAUUGAACUAGGGGCCCUCACCGGGUUACCGAAUUCAGUCAAACUCCGAAUGCCAGCUAUGCAAGCUUGGGAGUCAGACUAUGGGUGAUAAGGUUCAUAGUCGAAAGGGAAACAGCCCAGACCGCCAGCUAAGGUCCCAAAGUAUACGUUAAGUGGAAAAGGAUGUGGAGUUGCUUAGACAACCAGGAUGUUGGCUUAGAAGCAGCCAUCAUUUAAAGAGUGCGUAAUAGCUCACUGGUCGAGUGACUCCGCGCCGAAAAUAUACCGGGGCUAAACGUAUCACCGAAGCUGCGGAUUGUUCUUACGAACAAUGGUAGGAGAGCGUUCUAAGUGCUGUNNNNNNNNNNNNNNNNNNNNNNNNNNNNNNNNNNNNNNNNNNNNNNNNNNNNNNNNNNNNNNNNNNNNNNNNNNNNNNNNNNNNNNNNNNNNNNGAUUGGUGGAGCGCUUAGAAGUGAGAAUGCCGGUAUGAGUAGCGAAAUAGAAGUGAGAAUCUUCUACACCGAAUGCCUAAGGUUUCCUGAGGAAGGCUCGUCCGCUCAGGGUUAGUCGGGACCUAAGCCGAGGCCGAAAGGCGUAGGCGAUGGACAACAGGUGGAUAUUCCUGUACCACCUCAUGACCGUUUGAACGAUGGGGGGACGCAGUAGGAUAAGGAAAGCGCACAAUUGGAUGUGCGCCCAAGCAGUGAGUGAGUCAGAUAGGCAAAUCCGUCUGGCAAUCACAAGCUGUGAUGGGGAGGGAACAAAAGUACCGAAGUUCCUGAUUUCACACUGCCAAGAAAAGCCUCUAGUAAGGUCAUAGGUGCCCGUACCGCAAACCGACACAGGUAGGCGAGGAGAGAAUCCUAAGGUGAUCGGGAGAACUCUCGUUAAGGAACUCGGCAAAAUGACCCCGUAACUUCGGGAGAAGGGGUGCUUCUUUUGAACGAGAAGCCGCAGUGAAAAGGCCCAAGCGACUGUUUAGCAAAAACACAGGUCUCUGCGAAGCCGAAAGGCGAAGUAUAGGGGCUGACACCUGCCCGGUGCUGGAAGGUUAAGGGGAUGCGUUAGCCAUAUGGCGAAGCGUUGAACCGAAGCCCCAGUAAACGGCGGCCGUAACUAUAACGGUCCUAAGGUAGCGAAAUUCCUUGUCGGGUAAGUUCCGACCCGCACGAAAGGUGCAACGACUUGGGCACUGUCUCAACGAGAGACCCGGUGAAAUUAUACGAUGCGUGAAGAUGCGCAUUACCCGCGACAGGACGGAAAGACCCCGUGGAGCUUUACUGUAGCCUGAUAUUGCAUGUUGGUACAGCUUGUACAGGAUAGGUGGGAGCCUGAGACUCGUGAGCGCUAGCUUACGAUGAGGCGUCGGUGGGAUACCACCCUGGCUGUACGGACAUUCUAACCCAGAACCGUGAUCCGGUUCGGAGACAGUGUCAGGUGGGCAGUUUGACUGGGGCGGUCGCCUCCUAAAGAGUAACGGAGGCGCCCAAAGGUUCCCUCAGAAUGGUUGGAAAUCAUUCGCAGAGUGUAAAGGCAGAAGGGAGCUUGACUGCGAGACCUACAAGUCGAGCAGGGACGAAAGUCGGGCUUAGUGAUCCGGCGGUACCGAAUGGAAGGGCCGUCGCUCAACGGAUAAAAGCUACCCCGGGGAUAACAGGCUUAUCUCCCCCAAGAGUCCACAUCGACGGGGAGGUUUGGCACCUCGAUGUCGGCUCAUCGCAUCCUGGGGCUGUAGUCGGUCCCAAGGGUUGGGCUGUUCGCCCAUUAAAGCGGUACGCGAGCUGGGUUCAGAACGUCGUGAGACAGUUCGGUCCCUAUCCGUCGUGGGCG